This 654-nucleotide long non-coding RNA is filed under the name Rattus norvegicus (Norway rat). RNAcentral describes it as "long non-coding RNA NONRATT003681". The record is from RNAcentral. Lineage: Eukaryota; Metazoa; Chordata; Mammalia; Rodentia; Muridae.
GAAAUGAUACUGUCAAACAUUUACUUGCUGAGUAGGUCAAGGUUAAAUCAUUAAAUAUUACAAAGAAAUACAGAUGUGAUCAAAUGGGUUUUUUUUUUAAUUAAUUUGUUUUUCUUGGGUAAUUAUUGCUAAAAAUAGUUUGGAAGUUGCAUCAGAGUUAAGAAAAGUGACUGUAUUAACACAGUACUAGAUCUGUACUAAAUUUUUAGUGUUUAUAGGUGGAGGUUUUUAUUAACUUAGGGGGAGAGAGAUGAGGGACAGGAGUGUGCAUGUGACGCUCACUAAGUGUCAGUCUACUUUACAGGUUGUUUUGCAAAAACCCUUGUAGAGUGCGUUGGUAUGAAGAACCUCAAGUCCUGGGCCAGCAUCAACCGAGGAGCCAUCGUUCUUUCCAGCCUUCUUCAGAGUUGUGACCAGGACGUUGUAAACAAAGUCAAAGCUGGACUGAAAACCCUGAUUCCUACCUUGGAAAAAACCAAAAGCACCAGCAAAGGCAUCCAGACUCUGCUUGAGAAGUUGACUGCAUAGGCGCGCCAGAUGAGCAAGCUGGAACCCGCUUCCCGAGGGGAAGGGUGGAAUCUGUCACACUCAUAACUGGAUGCCCUAUGCAUGUACUUGUUAAAGGACCUAUUUAUAUAUAAAAUUGUAAAAGAG